Uranotaenia lowii is the source of this 628-nucleotide long non-coding RNA. RefSeq lists it as uncharacterized. NCBI's taxonomy places the organism in Eukaryota, Metazoa, Arthropoda, Insecta, Diptera, Culicidae. The record is from RefSeq and is a predicted model, not a curated record. The transcript has 3 exons.
GCAGUUAUUCUGCUCGGAACCGUGAUUCUCUGAAUCACAGGAAAACAGCUGAAAAUGACAUUUGAACUGUCAAAAACAAGAGAUUUUCCUGUGGCACUGAGAGAUUGCUAACCGAUUCUCGUAUCACUCAAUUUCUCCUGAAAUUUGAAGGAACUCUCCUUCGGGUGCUCAGGAGCUCGAAAAAUUUCAGGACAACAAUCUCCUGUAUCACUGUUUUAAGUGACAGGUGUUUUCGUAUUUGCUUAUUGGAACCGCGAGGACAAAUUCAAUAAAAGCCAUCUUGAGAACUGCCCAUUUCUGCACGGGAGAGAGAUACGGCCGAAAUCCGCGGGGCUAAUGGGAAACGAUUUCUCCGAGAGGAACAGUUUUCUUCCGGAGCAUUCAUCGGCGAAGUGUGGCGUCCAUUGUUCAGAGGGUGGCUCCAAUUUUAAGGAACAGAUCCGUUUCUGGCCGCUGAACUCGAAAACCAAAUAGGCGCCUGAUGAAGAAGCUGGAGAUUGAACUGCUGGUUUUAGUGGCAUACAUUUUUUGCUAGAAAAGGCUGGAUCUAACACCACAAAAUGCAGGAACGCAGUAAUAACAGCAAUAUGAUUGUAAAGCAUUAAUCUGUUUGUUUUUCAAAGGGUAA